This 1144-nucleotide long non-coding RNA is filed under the name Sorghum bicolor (sorghum). Its description in RNAcentral is "long non-coding RNA (SBIC_LNC001860)". The record is from RNAcentral. Lineage: Eukaryota; Viridiplantae; Streptophyta; Magnoliopsida; Poales; Poaceae.
AAACUAUGUCAACGCCAGUGUCUGCAUUUGCUCUUUCACAGUAAUCCGUUGCAACACAUACCAAGUCAAAAUAACGCAUAUGCAGAUUAUUGUCCCUUUCCUUGGCGCUGCUCCACUGGACAGCAGUGAUGAUUCCGCAUCUGUAAUGUAAGGAUACCUUGAGUACAUUGAAGGGACUGGACGGAGCUAGCUGUGCCUCCUUCACUUGGAGAAUCAUCAGAAAUUGUUUGGCUCCAUCCAUCUGUACAACAGAUUUUGCAAUCAUCACUCCCUGAAUUUUAAUGGAAAUAACCUGCAAUGCUACGGGGUGGGGGGGAAAACCAGCAACCAUACUGCAAUUUGGAUAGGUACUCUCUUAAUGAAAAACGGGUGAAUAGUCCGAUCGCGAAAUUUUUUUUUGGAUAGAUACAUUUGGACUGCACCUCUGCCAGAUGUCUUUUGGUCAAGGCUUUGGUCAAAUACUGUCAAGCAUAGAUCGAAACCCAGAUCGAAAUAGACACUCCAAGACGACAAAGGGUCCAAAAUUUCGGCAAAAUUUGCGAAUUUCGGUGGUGGCCGAAAGAAAAAUCCGAAAUUUCAUUAUAUACUAAUACAUGUGCUAUAUAACUUUAGACUCAUAUUUUCUAUUAUUUAUAUUGUAUAUUUUUCUAUUCAAUAGAUGUGUAAUCAUAAAUCAUACUGAUACUUAUUUAGAUCUAUUUUUUAAAAAAAAAACAUACUCUAUGUGCUAGUCUCUAAAAAAAAAUUCGACGAAAUUUCAGUCGAAUUUCGCGAAAUUCAAUAAUUUCGGUGGUUGCCGAAAUUUUUGCGAUAACAAAAUUAAAAACCUUGAUGACAACAAUCCAACUCAACACAGAAACUCUGCAGGGAAAUCGAAGCCGAUUCAGCACCGCACCUCGAGUGUGAUGUGAGGCGAGGCGAGGCGACACACUGUACAUGUAUUCACCUUGUUCGACUCAACCCAGCGCGGUGAGGGAGAAAGCCGGCGUACCGCGGACAGACGGACUCCACCGAGGCGGGCGGAGGGCUACUCGCCGGUGGCAGCGCGGCGAGGAGGCGAGCAGGGACGCUAGCUCGGCCUCCGCCGCUUGGUUCUCUGCGGCACCAAUGGAUCGGACUUGCUCUGACCGCAGCCAUGUCCGCG